GAUGAACGCUGGCGGCGUGCCUAAUACAUGCAAGUCGAGCGAACAGACGAGGAGCUUGCUCCUCUGACGUUAGCGGCGGACGGGUGAGUAACACGUGGAUAACCUACCUAUAAGACUGGGAUAACUUCGGGAAACCGGAGCUAAUACCGGAUAAUAUAUUGAACCGCAUGGUUCAAUAGUGAAAGACGGUUUUGCUGUCACUUAUAGAUGGAUCCGCGCCGCAUUAGCUAGUUGGUAAGGUAACGGCUUACCAAGGCAACGAUGCGUAGCCGACCUGAGAGAUUGAUCGGCCACACUGGAACUGAGACACGGUCCAGACUCCGACGGGAGGCAGCAGUAGGGAAUCUUCCGCAAUGGGCGAAAGCAAUACGGAGCAACGCGGCGUGGGUGAUGAAGGUCUUCGGAUCGUAAAACUCUGUUAUUAGGGAAGAACAAAUGUGUAAGUAACUAUGCACGUCUUGACGGUACCUAAUCAGAAAGCCACGGCUAACUACGUG
This 497-nucleotide ribosomal RNA is filed under the name uncultured bacterium. Its description in RNAcentral is "partial 16S ribosomal RNA". It matches the Rfam family "Bacterial small subunit ribosomal RNA", at positions 28 to 507 of the family's 1533-position model. The record is from RNAcentral.